This is a transfer RNA of Plesiocystis pacifica SIR-1, 85 nucleotides long. It matches the Rfam family "tRNA". From Rfam's summary of the family: Transfer RNA (tRNA) molecules are approximately 80 nucleotides in length. Their secondary structure includes four short double-helical elements and three loops (D, anti-codon, and T loops). The record is from Rfam. Lineage: Bacteria; Pseudomonadati; Myxococcota; Nannocystales; Nannocystaceae.
GGGGAGGUGUCCGAGUGGUUGAAGGUGCCAGACUCGAAAUCUGGUGUGGCGAAAGUCACCGAGGGUUCGAAUCCCUCCCUCUCCG